Molecule: long non-coding RNA, 3538 nt
Filed under: Xyrichtys novacula (pearly razorfish)
Lineage: Eukaryota; Metazoa; Chordata; Actinopteri; Labriformes; Labridae
Source: RNAcentral
UGAUCUUGUUGUGUGAGGCUUGUCUUAUGGGACUGGGGGCCACCUGCAGGAAAGGGAAGGUAUUAAAACAUCAAAAUAAGACUUUAAUAAGACCAUUCAUCGAUUAGGCUGAUAAAUGAGGCUGAUUAGAAAAAUUAACAAAUGUUCACAAGCUUUACAGGCAGCAGCUAAUCUGACAGGGAGAUCAAAAUUCCCAUUAAAUAAAAACAUUUUUAAUGAUGGUGGAUCAAAUUUUACAGCUACUGACGAAUGUUUGAUAUGUAUUCUGUUGUGUGGUAUAGAAUAAUGGCGUUUAAUGUUUCCUUAGGCGAAGAGAUGUCCUGUUUGGGUGCAACCUGCAGCAUGGCCCCUCAGCACAUUUUUCUUUAGUUUCAUAUUUAAUUUAAAAUCUUUCUCAAAUCUGUUUCUAGAUAAGACAACCAUGUGUAUAAGAUUACAAUGUACAUGGAAUAAUGGCUCUUAUUAUGAUUGAACUGUUUAUGAAAUGCAAAAAAAACAACAACAAUGUGAUAUCUGCAUUAUAUAUCAGCCAUCGGCAAACCGUCUUUUUAAAUAUCAGCACCGAUAUCAGCUGAUAAAAAACACUGACUAGUCAACCUCUUUUAAAAUAUUUUGGGAUUAUUCUGACGUGUAACACGUGUGCGACAAUCUGAGUAGUAACUUUAAUUUCCAUUUUAUCUUGUUGCAAUUUGUGUGUGCAUAUUUUAUUUUCAGUGGGUUUCAUUGCUGUUGUUUCAUUGUUUCUUUCCCCACAUUGUCGCCAGGGGUCAAAUAAUUUCUGAGCCAUUUCCCCGCCUUUGUAAAAUCCUUUGAAUAGCCUCUGUGUUUGAAUUGUCCAACAUAAAUAAAGAUUACUCGCCUCUCCUAGCCUGGUCUAUUAGCAGAAAAUUAGAAAUGGAUUCAGCCAGUCUUCUGUAGGGUAUUUCAACCUGACCUAGAGACAACAAGUAAUAACACAAACCAGCGAGAAAAAGCGGGGGAAAGUCCGUCUAAUUAUAAAAAUGAAAUUGCUUAUUUAUACAGAGUUUGCACAAGGGUUUCCACAAUGCUCCUCAUCAUUGUUGCUAGACAUUGCAUGUUAUAUGUUGGGCUGAAAGAAUAAGAUGAAAAAUGCAAAUAACUGUAUGUUGCAGGAGCACAGUUUGUUCAUUUGCAUUUGCGGUGACACGUCUCAGUGGGAGGAAAUCAACAUAUACUGAUGUUUAUAGAAAACGAGGGAGAGAAACAUGGGGCAUUUAGCACCGGGACAAAACAGGCCUGAUUUAUGGGUACAACAACAUCGUAAUAAUCGACCCUGAUUAUGAUGACUUGAGCUAAACAGAUUCAUAGCAGAGAACAUUUCCUCUCUAUGUUCUACUCGCAGUUGUGACAGAGGAGAAGGAUUUGAAAUUCCCAUUAAAAAGAUUCAGAGACACCCCAGCUCUGCCCUGCCACUCCUGACAACCUGCUGCUGUGUGGCUGUGACAGGUCCCUGUAAAUUCAGGCUCAGCCCCCCAGGGUCCCACAUAUCUGAGCUGCUCUGAAAGAAGCCACGUCCAAACCACGGGGCUUUUCUGCAGCCACAGGCCCCUUUCUUGAUGCGGGGAGAGAAAUCCUCAAAAAGCAAGCAGCCCACAGCAGCUGUCGUGUAUUUCAGCCUGCUUCAGAUAUCAGUGGUGGUUUGUGAGCUUUUCUUUAGCCGUGCUUUAAACAGGAGUGAUGAGGCAUUACAAAAGGCUCUUUGUUCUAUCCAAGAAGACAGAAAAGAAGUCAGCAGUCCUGCCCACUCCAUCACAACACUUCACUUUGUUCAGCCUCUGUUCAGCUCAUGGCACACCAGGCAACACUGAGGAGCAUGAGAGGUGGGCUUUAAAUCAAUUCAGUGUUUAUUUAGAUUUACUUAACUUACAUAAGAGACAGUUAUUUUAUUAUUUCAUGAAGAAUGUGGCAGCUUUAUGGAAAAAAAAAGUUUUUUAUUUGUUAGUUUUGCCAUUAAAACUGUAUUUUCUUACAUAGCUGUAGUUUGCUCGCUGUCUACAUCCUGUGUGACAGUUAUUUAAGUUUACAUACUGCCUACAUCUACACAUUUUGUGUUGACUUUUGGAAACUAAAAAGCAAAAUUGGACACAGAACAUCUUUCAACUUUUAAUAUUUUACUUAUUUAGUCAAUCUUUUUCAUAUUUUUAAUCCUCAGACACUGCUCUUUACAGAAAAAAUAUGCUGUGACGAAAUAUAAUUAACUGUUUUAAGAAAAAAUAUUCAUUUAUUCUAAACUUAAUGCCAGUCAGGAACAGAACAAACAAUCUGUAAGAGAUUCGCAACAUGACUUGUUAUAAAGGUCGUUCUGGAGAGGCUGAGUCUCUCUGGAGUAAAAUAGGAGGAGGAUCACCACUCUGUGAGAAAACGUCAAGACUCCAAGCUCCGCCCCUCUUUGCCCUGCUCCGCAGGCCAAGUAGUGAUGACAAUGACAGAACAACUGUGUGCAGUAGCGGAUUGCAGUGCUUGUAAGAAAGCCAGUUAUGAUAUUAGUCUUCAUCAUGCCCCCCAAGACAUUAGUGUCCGAGAGCUGAAUAGCUCCUAUGUUACCUGUCACUUUAGCUGCACUGGCAAUGUUAGGCUACAAGCUAGCGUGGAGCUCUGCAGAAGAAAAGCCCUUAAAAUGACGCAGACAAUGUGAUUUUAGCAUUAUCACAAUUUAAAGACCACUGAUAACACACAAAAAACCUUUAAAGGCAUAAGGAAUCCUGAAAAUCUCUGUGUAAAAUAAACAAGAUAUAAAACCAACACUGGGUAGGUCUGAUCUUUAGACCAUCUUCACCGGUCUCGCAAUCUGAUCUGAUCUGAUCUAAUCAUCUUGUCAACAAUUCAGUUUGAUUUAAUAUCACACUGCAUUUUGUAUCCAUAGGUUUUCUAUGCUACUGCUUUUAGUGCAAGCUGUUGGAUAAACCUGAACUUCUUUUAUUUGUAGGAAAUAUAUUAAAAUCAAAUAAUGUCUACAGAAAUGUUUAACAUUGUAAUACACACCUAUACCAGAUAGUGUGGGAGGUUACAAGGAGCUAGCUAGACCUUCAUUAUAAAAAGACUACAAGAAAUAUGGGAUAGACUAGCCAUCUACACUGCUUCUAUUUUUAUAUAAACUAUGCACAUUAUGGUCAUUGCUUGUUGUGGCUAGCAAAGCAGACUAAAUAUGUCAAAUAUUUGCAAUAAUACGUUUUAAGGUUGCUCUCUGCAGCUCAAUAUAAACCCCCAAGUUUAUUAUCUACAUUAUUUUGUUCUUUUUCUCCCCUGUGUGUCCUUUCCAUUUCCUCCUAACUGUAUACAUUACAAACACGGAAGAUAAUCAGAGUAUUAAAGGGACGUGAUAACGGUGAUAUUGUGUUUGUGUCUGUUACAGGGAGCUGGGGGGAAAAGCAAGCGAGUAAGAAAGCACAUCACACCACCACUCCGAAAAAAAACACAAAAAGUGCUGAGGACCAUAAAAAGCUGCAUCUGGUCUGCAGUCCACCAGCUGAAGAGCCUCCUUUAUGUCCCAAUCACUAAAAAAAAAACUGUUUGUAGG